This 120-nucleotide transfer RNA is filed under the name Penicillium nalgiovense. RNAcentral's name for it is "tRNA-Ser". It matches the Rfam family "tRNA". From Rfam's summary of the family: Transfer RNA (tRNA) molecules are approximately 80 nucleotides in length. Their secondary structure includes four short double-helical elements and three loops (D, anti-codon, and T loops). The record is from RNAcentral. Lineage: Eukaryota; Fungi; Ascomycota; Eurotiomycetes; Eurotiales; Aspergillaceae.
CGGCGGUUUGGCCGAGUGGUCUAAGGCGAUUGACUAGAACCAUCUUGAAUUCAUUCCUGAAAUCAAGAUUCCCCUAUCAAUUCUGUUCGCAGGCGCAUGUUCGAAUCAUGCAGCCGUCGU